GUGCUCACUUUAACAGAACGUAUACUAAGAUUGGAAUGAUACAGGGUAGAUUACCUGGCCUCUGGGCAAGGAUGACGCACACAUUCAUGAUGCAGACAUUUUGUAA
This is a non-coding RNA of Canis lupus familiaris (dog), 106 nucleotides long. The record is from Rfam. NCBI's taxonomy places the organism in Eukaryota, Metazoa, Chordata, Mammalia, Carnivora, Canidae.